Molecule: long non-coding RNA, 1966 nt
Filed under: Gallus gallus (chicken)
Lineage: Eukaryota; Metazoa; Chordata; Aves; Galliformes; Phasianidae
Description: lncRNA (ENSGALG00010021374.1)
Source: RNAcentral
GUGCGGACAAUUUCUAAGGCAUCUGCUGGGCUUGCAUCCAUUUAGGUGUAACACAGUUCAGUGCACAGAACAGAAUUUGCCUUCAUCUGCGCUCACAUGAAACAAAUAUUUAUUCCAGAGCUGUAUGGAAGCCAUUGUUGCCUAAGGAGAAAUCAGAAUUAGGUUUGAUGCGCCCAGUCAGGAGCCACAGUGAUCAAGUUAUUUUAGGGGCACGGGUGGAGGAGUGAUGUGUUUGUGUCUCAUGUCACGAAGGUCCCUCUCACUUUUUGUUGGGUCAUCCAUCAUGCCUUGCACAAAUGCAUUUGGAGACAUUAACUCAUCCUUGGUGUGACAUGAAAAACCAUGAUGCUUUUCCAGUAAGAGUUGUGCAUACAGAAAUGAGGUUAAUUCUGGUCUACAUGGGUGCUAGCUCAGUGCAUCCUUGCACGUAGUAGCCAUGGUGUGGAUGGGGGUGUGUGCUAAGGCAGCCAAACUGCUACGUUUUGACAGUUCUGCUGCAUGCAUUAAAAUAACAUCAUCCUGGUUUGUUGUCUCUCCUCUUCCACCCUCUCCCCUCACUCAGCAAAGUCUAAAGGGAACAAGCUCCAAGUAUUAAAAUAGCUCCUGUCUAGCUUGUUCAGCCUAUUUCAGGAGGUUGGUUCCAUCUUGACACAGAUAGAAUACAGAGACAUUGUGGAAACCACAGCCACAAGGGGCCAUCGGCCAAAACUAAAUGAUUUCCCAGCUUAUGCAGAGUAGUUUGUUCUCCCCCUACCCCCUCCCAUCCCCUUUCCUAGCUUAAAAUAACAGUGGGAAGCUGUUUGGCUUUGUUUUGUUGGAUUUUUCUGCUUGCUGCACUUGGUCUGUUGUGAGGGGAUGGAAAGCUAGGAAGGAGCUGUGAGGUGGCAGAGACUUGUUGCCUUCUGGAUUGAGGUGAGACCUCCAGAACCACCAGAAAAAAACAAAACCCCACAUGUAUUUCUGGCAUGUAUUUUCAAGGAGCAAACAAACAAUCAAUGGGUAAAUCGACACAUGGAUUUAGCAGCUUGGACUAUGGAAUUAGUCUCACAUCUUGUCUUAGAUUGACCCAAAGGGCAGUGGACGUCUAUGAAGAGCAUAGGGCAAAAGUCACACAGGGAUAGCUACUGCCAGAUUAAGUCAGCUACAGGGAAGGACCCAUUUUCUGGUUCCUGUGAUUCUUCUGUUGCUACGCUAAAACUUAUCCUAUGGAGCUGUACUACUUAACACCCGCUUCCACCUUGGACUAAUUCAAAACCACCAUGAAUAAGACAAAAGUGCUAACUUCCACCAAUAUUCCACUCAUCUGCUUGGAGUGUGCCUACAGGAAGUCAACAUAUUCUGCAUUUUCUUGCCCUCAGGUUCGUAGGUCUCAUUCCAGCUCCUGCUUCUGCCCAGGGUUAUCUGUUUCUUCCUAAAGGCCUAUUUCAUACCUGCAUCAAAACUAGUAGGUUGGUAAAACUUCCAUCUUCCAGUCUAAACUGCACCAGAGUCCGUGAAUAUUGCCAAAUGCAUCUAUGGACGUGAAGGUGACCUUAGCCCUCGAGAAGAAAAAAGAUGAACUCUCAAAUUCUCACUAAAAUACUAUCCUUGUUUUGCCAAGAGGUGUCAAACUGUGGGUGUGCAAAUUACAGUGGGAAGCUGCAAACAUGAAUGGAGCCUUGGGACCAGAUGGCUCGGCACCAGAAGGGUUUGCAAGAAACUAGGCCUCGGGGUGAGCCUUGCUGCUUUGCAAGCGAGCCCCCGGUGCUUGCUCUGAAUGGUAUUCAAUGCCAGAAUUUAAUAUGCAACAAACUUUAUCACUUGAGGACUUGUGCGUCUCAUCAUUGUAAAAAGAAAAUCAGCACUAGCAGCGUGCUGGGGGCACUUUCACCUUUGUUAGCAGAAAUAGUGCACAGAUGCAAUAUCCAAGCUCAAGCAGCAAAAAGACUCAUUUAAGGGUAGUCAACGCUGUGUAAAUAGGUGAAUU